GUGGGCUGCUCCUCGUGCCCUUUGAACUCAGCAGGCUUUCCCGAGCUCAGAGCACGCUCUGCCAUGGCCGCCACCCUGGCUAGCUGGGCCAGCCCCUCAGAGCCGGGACGGACCUGACACUAGAAAGCCCUGUCUCUGCCCCCCAGUACAUAGUAGGUCCUGCUAGUUCUGCUAUGUGGGAUGCCGCCUCAGCAUGGCCUGUCAAGUGGUGCCAUGUCCACGCCCAGGAUCCAAACCAGUGAAACCCUGGGCUGCCGAAGCAGAGUGCGUGAACUUAACCACUCGGCCACGGGGCUGGACCCCAGGAUUGGUUGUUUUUUUAAAGCGUGUAUAAUGUGACCAUAUUUUUAAAUGCAUAUUUGUAUAUUUAUACAAUACAUAUA
This 383-nucleotide long non-coding RNA is filed under the name Equus caballus (horse). RNAcentral describes it as "lncRNA (ENSECAG00000050207.1)". The record is from RNAcentral. Lineage: Eukaryota; Metazoa; Chordata; Mammalia; Perissodactyla; Equidae.